Molecule: long non-coding RNA, 1489 nt
Organism: Vicia villosa (hairy vetch)
Lineage: Eukaryota; Viridiplantae; Streptophyta; Magnoliopsida; Fabales; Fabaceae
Exons: 3
Source: RefSeq, a predicted model, not a curated record
AAUUAAAUAAAAAAAGUGGAAAGAGGAAUUAGGGUAAGGUUUGUGACGCAUCAGAUUCCCUCUUAAGGACUCAUCUCUCUCUCUCGCGCGAAAGCACAGACGGCGGCCGGAAUUGUCGUCCCGUCUCCGAUUGCUCACUCCGCGUCACUCUCGAUCACUCUCUGAAUCAAGUUAUCCCCACCUCAAUCUCUCUCAAUCUCGAAUCUGCUCUCAAACUUUCUCUGCUAUCGAUCUCAAAUCGCUAUCACUCCGAUUUCCUCUUCUUCUUCCGUUGCUUCUCCUCUCCAUUCAAUCUCUCUCGGUUCAAGUUUCAAUUCGUUUCCGAUUUGACUCAACUCUUUCCGCCACAAUCUCUGCUUCAACUCCGAUUUGAUAUACCGGAGAAUGUUUGACGCCUUUUCCAUGGUACCGACGAGGAGAAAACUCCACCGUUAAAGACAGGUGAUUGGAGAAUCAGAGGAAGCUGUGUGAUGGUUGAAUCGUGAGAGGAGAUUGAAGAAUGAAGGUUAUUGAUGACAAAUGCGAUGCGGUUCUUGCGAUGAUUCGUAGAUAAAGGUUGUGAAGCUGCAAUUGUUGUUCUGAGAUGUAAAAAUCGUUAGAGUCUUGAAGAUUAUUACGUGAAGGUGUGAUUGAAUGAAGAAUCGGUGGAGAGUUCUUGGAGAUUGAAGAAGCGAUGAAGAUGAUGAGAGGAAGAUGAAGAUUCAAUGGUGGUGAUGAAUGAAUGAUUGGUUAUGGUUCUUGCUACCGGUUCCCUUUGUUGUGCCGGCUUUUGUUUAUUUCUUCUUCUCUUCUUUUGUGAAUUCUGUCUUGGUUUGAACCGGUUUCGAAUUAUCGAGUUGGCUUGAACUUAUGCGUGAAGAGUAUUUGAACCGGUACAAUUUCCCAUUUUGCAGGUUGAGCACAUGGUUUUAAAAACAAAGAGUUCAUAUGGUAUGAAAGAACUUAGCCAAGAAGAAUUGAUCCAAGAUUCUGAGCAUUAUUUAUAGAAUUUAAGAGAAAUAUCUUUUCAAAAAGUUAGGACCUAGUGUUGAAUGAUUGAAUUUGAAUUAUUGAUGUAAUGAUGGACUAUUGGUGGAUGUAAAUUGUAAUGAAUAUGAUUUUGAACAUUCUUGAUUCUUCUCUUGUAAAGAACUUCGAACGUAAUUCUAAUUUAGAUUACUUCGAACAUUAAUCAAUAAACUCUAAUCAACUCUCCAUUUCAAUGAAACUUGGUUCACUUGGUAAAUCUUCGCUUCUAAACUUCGAUGACAACUUUGAAUCCUUAACCUUAAUUCUCAAAAUCUCAAUUAACUUGUGAUUGAAGUAAUAAGUAUUUGAUGAGAACCAGAAAAUGUAUUGGCCAAAGCAAGUGAACAAGUCAAUCUCCUAUGCUACUGCACUUGUAUUUCAAAACACCGCAACAACAAUGCAUCGAAGAACCCUUGAAGAAGAAAAUAUUUGAGGCGUAGGGAAAACCUCAACAUAUAAGCCAAUUAACCUCAAUCGAACC